GCAGUGGUGGUUCAGUGGUGAAAUUCUCACGUUUCAUGCCGGAGACCUGAGUUCAAUUCCCAGCCAGUGCA
RNAcentral lists this transfer RNA (71 nucleotides) under Loxodonta africana (African savanna elephant). It matches the Rfam family "tRNA". Rfam says of the family: Transfer RNA (tRNA) molecules are approximately 80 nucleotides in length. Their secondary structure includes four short double-helical elements and three loops (D, anti-codon, and T loops). Further hydrogen bonds mediate the characteristic L-shaped molecular structure. tRNAs have two regions of fundamental functional importance: the anti-codon, which is responsible for specific mRNA codon recognition, and the 3' end, to which the tRNAs corresponding amino acid is attached (by aminoacyl-tRNA synthetases). tRNAs cope with the degeneracy of the genetic code in two manners: having more than one tRNA (with a specific anti-codon) for a particular amino acid; and 'wobble' base-pairing, i.e. permitting non-standard base-pairing at the 3rd anti-codon position. The record is from Rfam by way of RNAcentral. Lineage: Eukaryota; Metazoa; Chordata; Mammalia; Proboscidea; Elephantidae.